Molecule: non-coding RNA, 958 nt
Organism: Dermacentor andersoni
Lineage: Eukaryota; Metazoa; Arthropoda; Arachnida; Ixodida; Ixodidae
Source: RefSeq, a predicted model, not a curated record
CAGAUAUUUAAAGCAAAUUAGAUCUUAGGCAUAAGGUGUUAAUUAUUCCGUGUGCUCGCACCAAGGUUUUGGUUUACGCUGACAUAGUUCAACGCCGUCAUCACCGUGAGAAAUUUGGAACAUUGUUUGCGGUUCUCACAAGCACAACCCGCCUUUCUCUCAACCAGGAACCGCCGGCCGGAAUGAAGGCAAUAUUCGGUGGAUUGCUAAUCGUGAUCGCUGGAUUCCAGGGAACCGUCGACGGUGAUCCUGAAGCACCACCUGGAUAAUUGGAAGUUAAUGGAGAUGGCUCUUGGAAGCCUUCGCCAGGAAGAUGCGUGGCAGCGCUGAAAAGGCCAAGCGUGGCUUCCAUGACGACGUGGAGCAGUUCUUCAGAGACCUCGCUCUACAGGUUGCUGCGCAGCGAAGAAUGUUCACUUGUACCUCUAGGGGCCAUGCCACUAGCCCCUGAAGGUGCUGCCACUUAUACCUUGCAACAAGCCUUCAUCAGUGUCCAGCGGCGCUUGGGCGCCUUGUUGGUGCCAAAUAAUGACGUACCUCAAGCGCUCAGGCUUGCCGGAAGAGUUGACCGAGAAGGACGCGCAGCAGAGCCAGCGGAAGAAGUAGAAAGAGGCACGUGAGCUCGACUAUACCCCGCGCCGGCUGGUCAUCUCAGUGGCUGUCUCACGCAUCUCGUUUCAUCGUGCAAGUCCGACGGAGAUUGGCGAGAUUAUCGAGAAGAUGAAGCAAGUUUUCGAAAGUCCUGACUUGGAGGGUGAACGCGGAAGCCGCUGCGGAGCGUCAGUCUCUGAGCAACGCGUUCGCGCUGUGCGCCAGAGGCCGCAACCCGUUGUUACUGCAGGAUGUCCUGCCUUUGACACGGGUGGUUCUUCACCAAUUCGAGGAUGGUACAUCUCAUCCCUUGCUUUUUGCUUUUGUAUGGUCACUAACUAGAAAUUCUAAAACAGGUUAAGCUAAU